RNAcentral lists this ribosomal RNA (276 nucleotides) under uncultured Faecalibacterium sp. RNAcentral describes it as "partial 16S ribosomal RNA". It matches the Rfam family "Bacterial small subunit ribosomal RNA", at positions 355 to 647 of the family's 1533-position model. The record is from RNAcentral. Lineage: Bacteria; Bacillati; Bacillota; Clostridia; Eubacteriales; Oscillospiraceae.
UGGGGAAUAUUGCACAAUGGGGGAAACCCUGAUGCAGCGACGCCGCGUGGAGGAAGAAGGUCUUCGGAUUGUAAACUCCUGUUGUUGAGGAAGAUAAUGACGGUACUCAACAAGGAAGUGACGGCUAACUACGUGCCAGCAGCCGCGGUAAAACGUAGGUCACAAGCGUUGUCCGGAAUUACUGGGUGUAAAGGGAGCGCAGGCGGGAGAACAAGUUGGAAGUGAAAUCCAUGGGCUCAACCCAUGAACUGCUUUCAAAACUGUUUUUUCUUGAGU